GGAGGGAUCAUUACCGAGUAUCUACUCAUAACCCUUUGUGAACCAUAUUGUUGCUUCGGCGGCUCGUUCUGCGAGCCCGCCGGUCCAUCAGUCUCUCUGUUUAUACCAACGAUACUUCUGAGUGUUCUUAGCGAACAAUUAAAACUUUUAACAACGGAUCUCUUGGCUCUAGCAUCGAUGAAGAACGCAGCGAAACGCGAUAUGUAGUGUGAAUUGCAGAAUUCAGUGAAUCAUCGAAUCUUUGAACGCACAUGGCGCCUUCCAGUAUCCUGGGAGGCAUGCCUGUCCGAGCGUCGUUUCAACCCUCGAGCCCCAGUGGCCCGGUGUUGGGGAUCUACGUCUGUAGGCCCUUAAAAGCAGUGGCGGACCCGCGUGGCCCUUCCUUGCGUAGUAGUUACAGCUCGCAUCGGAGUCCCGCAGGCGCUUGCCUCUAAACCCCCUACAAGCCC
RNAcentral lists this ribosomal RNA (449 nucleotides) under Verticillium dahliae. RNAcentral's name for it is "eukaryotic LSU rRNA". The stretch from base 143 to 296 matches the Rfam family "5.8S ribosomal RNA". The record is from RNAcentral. Lineage: Eukaryota; Fungi; Ascomycota; Sordariomycetes; Glomerellales; Plectosphaerellaceae.